Molecule: ribosomal RNA, 200 nt
Filed under: uncultured bacterium
Lineage: Bacteria
Description: partial 16S ribosomal RNA
Rfam family: Bacterial small subunit ribosomal RNA
Source: RNAcentral
AGAGUUUGAUCCUGGCUCAGAACGAACGCUGGCGGUAUGCUUAACACAUGCAAGUCGAACGAACAAAAUUGGGGCUUGCUCCAAUUUUAGUGAGUGGCAAACGGGUGAGUAACGCGUGGGAAUCUACCCAUCAGUACGGAAUAACACUUGGAAACAGGUGCUAAUACCGUAUAUUCUCUACGGAGGAAAGAUUUAUCGCU